RNAcentral lists this long non-coding RNA (1167 nucleotides) under Callithrix jacchus (white-tufted-ear marmoset). RNAcentral's name for it is "lncRNA (ENSCJAG00000057227.2)". Lineage: Eukaryota; Metazoa; Chordata; Mammalia; Primates; Cebidae. The record is from RNAcentral.
GAGCCCUGGGCAUCUGGGGACGAGGCCUGGCAUUUGCGGGACAGUGAGUGGCCCAGCCAGCAGCCAAGGAUGGGGUCUCCGCCACCCGGUUUACUUGAAAGUGUGGCUCUCAGCUCCACCCCGCCCAAAGCCUUUAGGCCCAAACAUGGCGGAGUAGCAGGAGAUGGGUAUCUAGAUAUCUCAAAUACACAAAUGAGCAGAUAAACAAGAACCACGGAAUGGCUGACGACCAUCAACACUGUGACAGACAUCUACAAUAAACGCAGUGAGCUCAGAUUCAGUGUUAAGGUGACUGGCGAUGGCAUCCUUCCUCCCCUACGCCUCAUUUUCAAUAGGAGCAAGAUAAAUCUUACUUAUCUUUGGAGCAGAUAGGGAGGAGAGAAUGGAGGAGAGCACAUCUAGGUAGGGAAAUAGCACGUGACCCUCUUCAGAAGUGGGAGGAAGAAGUAGGGUCCUUCUUGUCUCAACAGUUCUCUAGAUCUACUUUUCCUGGAUCAGGCCACAAGCAGGGGAGAUUCCUGGAAAUGCUGCUGCUUUCCAUAAAUCCCAGACAGCCAUAGGACCUCAGACUGAACCCAUCAAUAUGUAAGCUGGGGUGGACAAUUGCUACCAGGGAGUAUCAAACCACAGCCAUGACCAGGAUGAGUUUGGACCCACAGCCACAUCCCGAGAAGCAGCUAUAGUUGGAGGCUCAGAGCAGUCCUCUCACUAACCACUAACCUCACAAUCACACAACCCCACAUCUUACUGUUUGCGUUUUGGAACACCACGUUAUGGAAGGGUCUUACUACACCAAACUCAGCAGAACGGACAAAAUCUAAAAUUUAAAGACACAUCAUUAAGACAGCAAUAAUUUCUAGACUAUGUUGCAUUCAUUAAACAUCAGCUCAAGAUGCCAGAAAGUAAAACAGGUAAUGGCUAAAAUUUUUUAAUCUAAUGAAAGAUGGGCACAGCAGAAGCUCUCAUCAGUGACCUGGGAAAUUGAGCUGAGACAGCUUCUCACUAACUUGCAAAAAGUGAAAGAGAUAAACAGAACAUUAUGAAGUUGGGAGGGUAUUUCUAAAAAUGGAGCGAAGCAAAUAGUCAAAUCAAUGAUAGAAAAAAAAGCUUCCCUACCUUUAAAGAUCUGAUUUGUUGGAUUGCAAUGGUCAUUUAGUCCUGAGGAAG